CUGCGAGUUCGCGGGAGAGUAAGUUAUUGCCAGGGUUUUUAUUUUAUACUUUAAACCUUGAAUUUAUUUUUUAAAUGUUUAUAUUAUUUGAAUAAAACAUUCAAAUAAUAUAAAAAAUAAUAUAUAUAUUGACAUGGAUUAAACAAAGAUAUAUAUUAUUUUAUGUUGUAUAAACAAAUUGGCAAAAUAGAGAUGGAAGAUAAAAAUAUGGUCAAAGUAAUAAGAGUCUAUGGUGAAUGCCUAGGAGCUU
This 250-nucleotide unclassified non-coding RNA is filed under the name Borreliella afzelii. Its description in RNAcentral is "partial 5S-23S ribosomal RNA intergenic spacer". The record is from RNAcentral. Lineage: Bacteria; Pseudomonadati; Spirochaetota; Spirochaetia; Spirochaetales; Borreliaceae.